AGCAGCCGCGGUAAUUCCGGCUCCAAUAGCGUAUAUUAAAGUUGUUGCAGUUAAAAAGCUCGUAGUUGAACUUCGGAAUUUGUUCAUUGGUCAGGCUUAACUGUCUGUACUGGUGUUACGAAUUUCUACCUUCUGAGGAAUCCUCAUGCCAUUAAUUUGGUGCGGGGGGAAUCAGGACUGUUACUUUGAAAAAUUAGAGUGUUUAAAGCAGGCUAACGUCUGAAUACAUUAGCAUGGAAUAAUAAAAUAGGACGGUUUGGUUCUAUUUUGUUGGUUUCUAGGAUCACCGUAAUGAUUAAUAGGGAUAGUUGGGGGCAUUAGUAUUCAAUUGUCAGAGGUGAAAUUCUUGGAUUUAUUGAAGACUAACUACUGCGAAAGCAUUUGCCAAGGAUGUUUUCAUUAAUCAAGAACGAAAGUUAGGGGAUCGAAGACGAUCAGAUACCGUCGUAGUCUUAACCAUAAACUAUGCCGACUAGGGAUCGGAUGAUGUUAAUUUUUUAAUGACUCAUUCGGCGCCUUA
This 520-nucleotide ribosomal RNA is filed under the name uncultured Diversispora. RNAcentral's name for it is "SSU rRNA". It matches the Rfam family "Eukaryotic small subunit ribosomal RNA", at positions 569 to 1090 of the family's 1831-position model. The record is from RNAcentral. Lineage: Eukaryota; Fungi; Glomeromycota; Glomeromycetes; Diversisporales; Diversisporaceae.